GUUUUCGAAGGUUGUCAGGGGCCUAGUUGCUGCUGAUUUUACUGUUGGGUUGUUUAAGAGGGCAUGUAGUUGGUGUUGUGUUAACCAGGGCAUUUGGGUGUCUUCUAGUUUGUCUUGUAUUUCUUGUGUUGACAAGGGUUUGUUAUUUUUAUAAAAGUCUAUUAGGCGAUAUAAGCCUUUGGUUUGCCAGGUUUUUAUCUGGAGGUUUUGUGCUGCAUGGUGGAAUAAUGGGUGGUACGCCAGGGGGAUUAGUGGGGAUGGGGUUGGGGAUAGUUUGCCUAUUUGUGUUUUCCAUGCUUUGAGCAUGGUCUGUGUGUACCUGUUAAGUGUUGUGGGAAUUUUCUUUAGUUUGUUUGGGAGGAAUGGGUAUGUUGUGGUGCAGGUAUUUUCAAUUGUGUCCCUCUCUAGGUGUACCCAUUGUUUUGUCUCAUCUUCUAGUAUAUAUGGGAUUAUAUGGCGUAUUUGGUUGGCAUUGUAAUAUGCUUCUAUGUUGGGGAUUCCCCAUCCUCCUUCUGAGGUGGGGAGGUGCAGGUAUUUGAGGCUUAUUCUUGGUUUUUUAUGUGAGAAGAUGAAAGAGUGUAGUUUUCUCUGCCAACUGCGAAGUUGGGUUGAGGGGAUCCAGAUUGGGAGGGUUUGGAAUAGGUAGGUUAGUUUUGGGAGUGUGAUCAUUUUGAUCAUGGCUAUUUUGUCUGAGAGAGUGAAAUUCAUGUUAUUCCAUCUCUUUAGGUCUUUGUUAAUUUGUCGCCACAGGGGCUUGUAGUUGUGGAGGUACAAUUUAUUGAGGUUUCUGGUUAUUUGUACCCCUAGGUAUCUGAACUUGGUGUGGCAAAGUUUUAUUUUGGUGACCUUCGUGAGUUCUUUUUGGGUGUGAGGAGGGGUGUUGAAGCACAUAGCUUCUGACUUUGUAAAAUUUACCUGUAGGCCCGACACCAUUGCAAAUGUGUUGAGUUCUCUGAUUAGGGAGGUUGCUGUGCUUAUGGGGUCUGGUGUUGUGACCAUUAGGUCAUCUGCAAAGAGCCCUAAUUUAUAGGUUCUGCCUUUUAUUUCCACUCCCUUGAUGUCUGUGGCUGCUCGGAUGCUGAUUGCUAAGGGUUCCAGAGCCAGGAUAAAUAAGAAGGGAGACAGUGGGCAUCCUUGUUUCGUGCCUCUUUGGAUAGCUAUAGUAUUAGAAUCCAUAUUGUUAGUUCUGCAUUUUGCUGAGGCUUGGGAGUAUAUUUGUUUGAGAAUUUGUAGGAAGUUGGGGCCAAAUUUCAUGUUAGUUAGUACUGCUAAUAUGUAUUUCCACUCUAAGCAAUCAAAGGCUUUGAGGAUGUCUAGGGACAUAAUUGUCAAUGGGAGUUUGGCUGCCUUGCUGUGUUCGAUCAGGUUCAGUAGUUUCCUGAUGGGGUCUGUUAUAUUGCGGCCAGGGACAAAGCCAGUCUGGUCUGGGGCUACUAACUUGUGUAGGAAGAUUUUUAGGCGGUUGGCCAAGAUUGAUGUGAAUAUCUUGUAGUCUUGGUUUAUUAAUGAGAUUGGGCGGUAUGAUUCUACUUUGAGGCUGUCUUUUAGUGGUUUUGGGAUGGAGACUAUUUUGGAGUGGGUCCAGGUUUUGGGGAUGGGGCCCCUUUUAUGAUGUCGUUGAAUAGGCGGGUCAUGUAGGGCAUCAAGGGUUCUUUGAAUUUCCUAUAGAAUUCUGCUGUGAAGCCGUCUGGGCCUGGGGCUUUGUGUGGUUUCAGGUUUUUGAGGACCGCAUCUAUUUCCUCUGGGGUGAUAGGGCUGUCCAUGAAUUCCUGUUCCUCAUCAGUUAGGGUAGGCAUGGACAGUCCUGCUAGAAAUUUUUGAUUUCCUUCUCUGGUGGGUUAUGGGAGGUGUAUAGGUUGGAGUAGAAUUCUGCAAAUUCUGAGUUUAUUUCUUCGGGGAGAAUGUUAUGUUGCCGUCUUUUUGGUGAUGCAGUGUAUUCUUGUUUUGAGUGCUUUUUUCCUGCAUCUAUUUGCUAGUAAUCUGGAGUUUUUCCCCCAUAUUCGUAGAAACGUUGUUUAGAGUAUAGAAUGUUGAUCAUUGUUUUGUUAAUUUCUAGGGAGUCUAGUUCUCUCCUUUUUUGUUCCAUAAGUUUGAGGAGUUUUUUAGAUCCUGUUUGUUUGUAGCGUGAUGAGAGGGCUGUGAUGUCUUGUUCUAUUUUGCUAAUUUUUGAGGAGGUUUGUUUUUUAAGGAAUGUUUUCUCUUUAUGCAAGCUCCUCUGGUGACCGCUUUCAUUGCGUCCCAUAGGAGGGGGGUUGUUAUAUUGUUUACAUCGUUUUCCUUGAAGUAGUUUUGGAGGGUUUUUGUGAGACUCUCUCUAAUUUGUUUGUUUGUAGUUAGGAUGGGACUGAAGGACCAUGAUGGGGUGGUUUGUGUUCCUUCUCCUAUUUUAACGAUGACUUCUACUGGGGCGUGAUCUGUGAUUUUAAUGUUACCUAUGUUUGUUGAUUCCACUGAGGGGAUCAGACCCUGUGUGAGUAGAAUGCUGUCCAGUCUGGAUACUGUAUCAUGGCGUCCCGAUUGGAAUGUAUGGCUGAUGUCUCCCGGGUUUUGCUCACCCCAAAUGUCGUAGAGACCCCUGCUUUUUAGCAUUUUUAGUAACUUGUAAGGGUUCCUAGUUGUUGGGGGUUUCCUUCGGAGGAAGGUUGCCCAUGGGGUUGUAGGGUGGAUAUCUUUCAGGGCUAUGCCUUUCAUAUUUAGAUUGAGGUCCCCUCCUAGGAUUGCUUCCCCUUCAGAGAAGGAGAGGAAUUUGUUUAGUGUCUUCUGGAAGAAUUCUAAUUGUUUCGUGUUUGGGGCAUAUAUGGAGCCAAUUGUCAGUUUGAUUUUGCCAUCUAGUGUCCCUUUAGCGAAAAUGAAUCUGCCUUUUUGUCCUUGAGGACUGUUGUGGCAGUGAAGUUCAGGUCUCUACUGAGUAUUAUGGCUACACCACGAGCUUUCCCUGAGCCUCGUGCGACCCACUGUUGACUGAAGCGGGGGUCGCUCAGGAGUUUGCUGCCUUUGGGUGGGUUGUGUAUUUCUUGUAGGAAGGUGAUGUGUGGUUUCAUGGUGUUUAUGUAUGAGGUGA
Molecule: long non-coding RNA, 3061 nt
Filed under: Podarcis lilfordi (Lilford's wall lizard)
Lineage: Eukaryota; Metazoa; Chordata; Lepidosauria; Squamata; Lacertidae
Source: RNAcentral